RNAcentral lists this long non-coding RNA (2510 nucleotides) under Elaeis guineensis (African oil palm). RNAcentral describes it as "long non-coding RNA (EGUI_LNC005256)". Lineage: Eukaryota; Viridiplantae; Streptophyta; Magnoliopsida; Arecales; Arecaceae. The record is from RNAcentral.
CACUCUUACCUUUAACAGGUGUCCCCCCGCCCCCCAACUAUCGAGUCCUCGAUGCCUCUGCCUUUCCUCUCUCUGUGUCUCUCCUCUCCAUCCCCCUUCCCAUCACUCUAUUGAUCUAUCUCUUAGCACCAAGAUAAGCCAAGAGCCUUUGCCUCUCCUUCUUCUUAGACCUGAGGGAUGCUAGAGCCUGACAACAGGGCAGCCAGCCAUCCACUGCUGGAUCUAACCUCUGGGGGCCGCCAGCACUAUUUGACCUUUCCAGAUACUAGCAGCACCCCACCCCCUACUGGUUAGUGAGGUAAUAACCAUCCUAAUCCCUUUAAUUUGUGAUUAAAUAGUAUCAUUUUUAGAAAUAAAUAAAUGAAAUAAUUAUGAUGAAAUAUUUGGAUUGGUAUUAUACAGUUUUGGAUUUAAACUAUACAAGUCUUUAGCAUUAAAUAAUUGUUUAACUUUGCUUUAGGGUUAAGAAGGACCUUUAUUAAUUAUUAUAAAUAAACUAGGAAAAGAUAAUUAAAGAUGCAGAAGAUUUUAGAAAUUAUUCCUAUCUUGACAUAUUUGUCUAGUGGGUUAUUAGAUCUUGGAGGGAAAUUUUUGUCAAAAUUGUCGUAAAAAAAAAUGUUGAAAAUAUUUUAUGCAAAAUAAUGUGUAAAUUAUCAUAAUUUAAAUUUAAUUAUUAAGAAAAUAUCUUCAAUUACAUGAACUAAAUUCUUCAAUUUACUAGUAAUAAAUAUAUUUUUCAAAUAAUCUCAAUUCAUCAUUUGUGCGCAUUAAAUUAUAUCUUUUAAUUAGUUGCGUUGUUUCAACAUAUUGUGGAGCAAAUCUUUCUUCUAUUUGCAUAAAUUGGAUUGAGCAGAAAAAAAAAUUAUUUGUUGAAAAUCCUUCUGCAAAUCAGGUGACAUGACAAAAAAUGUUGUAAAUUAUGCAUAUCUAGAAAUACUGAACCUCUGGAAGAAUUUCAUUUUUGAAACUGAUUGGAUAAUCCCAAAAACUGUAAAAGUUAACAUUUUAAAAUUGGAUAUGCGUGUGUGUGGCGUGUGUGCACGCGCAUGUUUGCCUAGCUACAAUCUGUGACCUGCUCUGCGAAGGUUAAAUAUGGUAUGUGACCUACUCCACGAGAUAUAUGUGAUAUACUGAUCCUUUUGCAGGACAUAUUUGCAAUGUAGUCACAUAACCAGUAGAUUUAAAAUGGAUUUGAAAUUUGAUACUUAUGAUAGAAUAUUUGAAUAUAAGUAUAGAUCCGAAUAUGAAAUUUGGAUUGUAAACUUUACUCCAACAAAAAAUGUAUUACUUCACUAUGGGGAUAUAUUCUAAACUUUUUACUUUGGUAAAAAUAUAUUAGUUCACUAUAUGGAUCUCUGGAGAUGAAUUUAUUUGUAUUUGCUUGGACUCAACUUUUUACAAGAGACUUUUACUGAACUAUUUAGCUCAUUAUUUCCGCUUUCAUCUUUUCAAAUUCAGGGACUUAAGACUAGCAUGAUAUUAUUUUUCGGGAGGGCAACUAGAGAUAAGACUAGAUUUGUAAUAUAGACUAGACCACAUUUUAUUACUUUGUAUAUUAAAGCUACUUGAGGACUGUAUAAGCAAGUACUUGUAGUUCAGAGUCGUAGAAUGGGUGAACUACUCUAUAUAUGCCUUUUGGUGAUCUGUGCAAAUGCAUCAAAUACUUUAUUCAGGGAGUUUAGCUGUUCUGAUACCAUUGCCUGUAUAUGAAUUACAUUGUUCAUGAUUUUUGGAGAUGAAUUUAUUGGUAUUUGCUUGAUUCAACUUUUUACAAGAGACUUUUACCAAGCUAUUUAGCUCAUUAUUUUCACUUUCAUUUUUUCAAAUUCAGGGACUUAAAGACUAGCAUGAUAUUAUUUUUCCGGAGGCUGACUAGAGAUGAGACUUGGUUUGUAAUAUAGACUAGACCACGUUUUAUUAGUUUGUAUAUUGAAGCUACUUGAGGACUAUGUAUAAGCAAGUACUUGUAGUUCAGAGCUGUAGAAUGGGUGAACUACUCUAUAUAUGCCUUUUGUUGAUCUGUGCGAAUGCAUCAAAUAUUUAAUUCAGGGAGUUUAGCUGUUCUGAUAGUUACCAAUGCCUGUAUAUGAAUUACAUUGUUCUUAAAUUAUGUUAAAUUCAUUGAAAGGUGAAAGCAUUACAUACAAGGUCAAUUCCCUGUGAGUAUGCAGUGGUUGCCAUGCUCUUGAAUUCUGAUUUUUCGAUCGAGGACAUGACAGAUGAUUUUCUUGAUUAUGUCUGGGAACACUGUUGUCCCAUUAAUGAAUGUCUUCUAGUGAUAAAGUGUUCACUAUCUAUUUGCACCAGUGAAUUCACCUCCCGACUCAACCCAAGAGUUCUCUGAAAUCUGCAAUCUGCGACUGCAUUGUGCAGAGCCCUUGCACGAUUGCAUACAUAUGGUAGUAAACAGGUGACAACAAAAUUCUAUGCAACAAAAACAUAAUUCUAUAACAGACAUUGAGGUUGCAUGGCUAAUUAAACAUGAAACCUGUACAAUAUGAAAUGCAGAA